AAUGGGCCACAGAGUUUGCUUUUUUUUCCUUUCUCCAACACUUUGUUUUUGUUUUUUCACUGUUUUCCUUCCAAAUCGGAAAACAAGAAAGAAUGC
RNAcentral lists this non-coding RNA (96 nucleotides) under Mucochytrium quahogii. Lineage: Eukaryota; Bigyra; Thraustochytrida; Thraustochytriidae. The record is from RNAcentral.